RNAcentral lists this ribosomal RNA (496 nucleotides) under uncultured bacterium. RNAcentral describes it as "partial 16S ribosomal RNA". It matches the Rfam family "Bacterial small subunit ribosomal RNA", at positions 30 to 523 of the family's 1533-position model. The record is from RNAcentral.
AUUGAACGCUGGCGGAAUGCUUUACACAUGCAAGUCGAACGGUAGAGGGGGCAACCCCUCGAGAGUGGCGAACGGGUGAGUAAUAUAUCGGAACGUGCCCAGUCGUGGGGGAUAACGUAGCGAAAGUUGUGCUAAUACCGCAUACGUACUGAGGUAGAAAGUGGGGGACCUUCGGGCCUCACGCUAUUCGAGCGGCCGACGUCUGAUUAGCUAGUAGGUGAGGGAAAGGCUCACCUAGGCGACGAUCAGUAGCGGGUCUGAGAGGAUGAUCCGCCACACUGGGACUGAGACACGGCCCAGACUCCUACGGGAGGCAGCAGUGGGGAAUUUUGGACAAUGGGCGAAAGCCUGAUCCAGCCAUGCCGCGUGUCUGAAGAAGGCCUUCGGGUUGUAAAGGACUUUUGUCAGGGAGGAAAUCCCUAGUGCUAAUAACACUGGGGGAUGACAGUACCUGAAGAAUAAGCACCGGCUAACUACGUGCCAGCCGCCGCGGUAA